CCGGGGGCGCGACUCGGGCGCGCGCGGGCCUCGGGCACUUUCCAGGGGCUGGCGGGCGGGCCGGGCGGCCGUCCCGGUCCUCGGGGGCGGCAGCUGGCCCGGCGUCGGGCUCCCCAGUUUCUGGUACCGAAGCGCAGACGGGUUUCCUUGUCGGAGCCACGCACCGUUAAUGUAAGGCCGUAGGAGGUGGAUCAAAAAAGAUCUUGCUGGGGCUUCCCUGCUGGCGCAGUGGUUGAGAAUCUGCCUGCUAAUGCAGGGGACACGGGUUCGAGCCCUGGUCUGGGAAGAUCCCACAUGCCGCGGAGCAACUGGGCCCGUGAGCCACAACUACUGAGCCUGCGCGUCUGGAGCCUGUGCUCUGCAACAAGAGAAGCCGCGAUACUGAAGAGGCCCGUGCACUGCGAUGAAGAGUGGCCCCCGCUUGCCGCAACUAGAAGAAGCCCUCGCACAGAAACGAAGACCCAACACAGCCAAAAAAUAUAUAUAUAAAAAAAUAAAUAAAUAAAAUAUAAAAAAAAAAAUAGCCAGCAUAGUUUGUUUAAAAAAAAAAAAAAAAGAUCUUGCUGUGAUUUAUGUCAAAAAGUGUUCUUCCUAUGUUUCCCUCUAAGAGUUUUAUAGUGUCCAGUCUUACAUUUAGGUCUCGAAUCCAUUUUGAGUUUAUUUUUGUGUACAGUGUUAGGGAGUAUUCUAAUUUCAUUCUUUUACAUGUAGCUGUCCAGUUUUCCCAGCACCACUUAUUGAAGAGACUGUCUUUUCUCCAUUGUAUAUCUUUGCCUCCAUUGUCAUAGAUUAGUUGACCAUAGGUGCGUGGGUUUAUCUCUGGGCUUUCUAUCUUGUUCCAUUGAUCUAUGUUUCUGUUUUUGUGUCAGUACCAUAUUGUCUUGAUUACUGUAGCUUUGUAGUAUAGUCUGAAGUCAGGGAGUCUGAUUCCUCCAGCUCCGUUUUUUUCCCUCAAGACUGCUUUGGCUCUUCAGGGUCUUUUGUGUCUCCAUACAAAUUUUAAGAUGAUUUGUUCUAGUUCUGUAAAAAAUGCCAUUGGUAAUUUGAUAGGGAUUGCAUUGAAUCUGUAGAUUGCUUUGGGUAGUAUAGUCAUUUUCACGAUAUUGAUUCUUCCAAUCCAAGAAUAUGGUAUAUCUCUCCACCUGUUGUUAUCAUCUUUAAUUUCCUUCAUCAGUGUCUUCUAGUUUUCUGCAUAC
Balaenoptera ricei (Rice's whale) is the source of this 1196-nucleotide RNA transcript. It is a transcript of the gene named centrosomal protein of 78 kDa-like, with no coding region annotated. The record is from RefSeq and is a predicted model, not a curated record. The transcript is spliced from 2 exons. NCBI's taxonomy places the organism in Eukaryota, Metazoa, Chordata, Mammalia, Artiodactyla, Balaenopteridae.